RNAcentral lists this ribosomal RNA (1405 nucleotides) under Microbacterium sp. G12. RNAcentral describes it as "bacterial SSU rRNA". It matches the Rfam family "Bacterial small subunit ribosomal RNA". The record is from RNAcentral. Lineage: Bacteria; Bacillati; Actinomycetota; Actinomycetes; Micrococcales; Microbacteriaceae.
CAGGUACGCACGGUAGAAGCCCAGCUUGCUGGGUGGAUCAGUGGCGAACGGGUGAGUAACACGUGAGCAAUCUGCCCCUGACUCUGGGAUAAGCGCUGGAAACGGCGUCUAAUACUGGAUAUGAACCGUGGAGGCAUCUUCAACGGUUGGAAAGAUUUUUUGGUCAGGGAUGAGCUCGCGGCCUAUCAGCUUGUUGGUGAGGUAAUGGCUCACCAAGGCGUCGACGGGUAGCCGGCCUGAGAGGGUGACCGGCCACACUGGGACUGAGACACGGCCCAGCCUGGCCUGAGACCCGGCCCAACUCGACGAAGCAGCAGUGGGGAAUAUUGCACAAUGGGCGCAAGCCUGAUGCAGCAACGCCGCGUGAGGGAUGACGGCCUUCGGGUUGUAAACCUCUUUUAGCAGGGAAGAAGCGAAAGUGACGGUACCUGCAGAAAAAGCGCCGGCUAACUACGUGCCAGCAGCCGCGGUAAUACGUAGGGCGCAAGCGUUAUCCGGAAUUAUUGGGCGUAAAGAGCUCGUAGGCGGUUUGUCGCGUCUGCUGUGAAAUCCCGAGGCUCAACCUCGGGUCUGCAGUGGGUACGGGCAGACUAGAGUGCGGUAGGGGAGAUUGGAAUUCCUGGUGUAGCGGUGGAAUGCGCAGAUAUCAGGAGGAACACCGAUGGCGAAGGCAGAUCUCUGGGCCGUAACUGACGCUGAGGAGCGAAAGGGUGGGGAGCAAACAGGCUUAGAUACCCUGGUAGUCCACCCCGUAAACGUUGGGAACUAGUUGUGGGGUCCAUUCCACGGAUUCCGUGACGCAGCUAACGCAUUAAGUUCCCCGCCUGGGGAGUACGGCCGCAAGGCUAAAACUCAAAGGAAUUGACGGGGACCCGCACAAGCGGCGGAGCAUGCGGAUUAAUUCGAUGCAACGCGAAGAACCUUACCAAGGCUUGACAUAUACGAGAACGCUGCAGAAAUGUAGAACUCUUUGGACACUCGUAAACAGGUGGUGCAUGGUUGUCGUCAGCUCGUGUCGUGAGAUGUUGGGUUAAGUCCCGCAACGAGCGCAACCCUCGUUCUAUGUUGCCAGCACGUAAUGGUGGGAACUCAUGGGAUACUGCCGGGGUCAACCUCGGAGGAAGGUGGGGAUGACGUCCAUAAUCAUCAUGCCCCUUAUGUCUUGGGCUUCACGCAUGCUACAAUGGCCGGUACAAAGGGCUGCAAUACCGUAAGGUGGAGCGAAUCCCAAAAAGCCGGUCCCAGUUCGGAUUGAGGUCUGCAACUCGACCUCAUGAAGUCGGAGUCGCUAGUAAUCGCAGAUCAGCAACGCUGCGGUGAAUACGUUCCCGGGUCUUGUACACACCGCCCGUCAAGUCAUGAAAGUCGGUAACACCUGAAGCCGGUGGCCCAACCCUUGUGGAGG